Molecule: ribosomal RNA, 354 nt
Filed under: Triticum aestivum (bread wheat)
Lineage: Eukaryota; Viridiplantae; Streptophyta; Magnoliopsida; Poales; Poaceae
Description: partial small subunit ribosomal RNA
Source: RNAcentral
AUGAGGACCCAAUUUACUUCCUCUCGCAGAAAAGAAGAUCAGGCUUAUCAGCAUCAGUUCAUUUUGCAUGCUGCAUUAGAUGUUGUUCAGGACCUUGCAUGGGCUACAAGUUUGUUUCUGAAGUCAGUAGAUAGAUUCAACGAUCUUGUGGUGUCUGUUUAUAUAACUGCUGGUCAUACUAGAUUUAUGUUGCUUCAUGAUUCACGGAGUGAAGAUGGUAUAAAAAGCUUCUUUCAGGAAGUUCACGAACUUUACAUCAAGAUAUUCCUUAAUCCACUCUACUUGCCUGGUUCUCGCAUCACAUCCUCUCAUUUCAAUACCAAGGUCAGGGCUCUUGCAAGGAAAUACCUGUAG